Molecule: ribosomal RNA, 292 nt
Filed under: uncultured bacterium
Lineage: Bacteria
Description: partial 16S ribosomal RNA
Source: RNAcentral
GGACUACCCGGGUAUCUAAUCCUGUUUGCUACCCACGCUUUCGCGUCUCAGCGUCAAGAUCGGUCCAGAAGGCCGCCUUCGCCACCGGUAUUCCUCCAAAUAUCUACGAAUUUCACCUCUACACUUGGAAUUCCACCUUCCUCUGCCGUCUUCUAGCUAGUUAGUUUCCCAUGCACUUCCUCGGUUGAGCCGAGGGAUUUCACACAAGACUUAACUAACAGCCUACACGCGCUUUACGCCCAAUGAUUCCGAACAACGCUAGCACCCUACGUAUUACCGCGGCUGCUGGCAC